Molecule: ribosomal RNA, 432 nt
Filed under: uncultured bacterium
Lineage: Bacteria
Description: partial 16S ribosomal RNA
Rfam family: Bacterial small subunit ribosomal RNA
Source: RNAcentral
AACGAACGCUGGCGGCAUGCCUAACACAUGCAAGUCGAACGAGACCUUCGGGUCUAGUGGCGCACGGGUGCGUAACGCGUGGGAACCUGCCCUUAGGUUCGGAAUAACUCCCCGAAAGGGGUGCUAAUACCGGAUAAUGUCUUCGGACCAAAGAUUUAUCGCCUUUGGAUGGGCCCGCGUUGGAUUAGCUAGUUGGUAGGGUAAAAGCCUACCAAGGCGACGAUCCAUAGCUGGUCUGUGAGGAUGAUCAGCCACACUGGGACUGAGACACGGCCCAGACUCCUACGGGAGGCAGCAGUGGGGAAUAUUGGACAAUGGGCGAAAGCCUGAUACAGCAAUGCCGCGUGAGUGAUGAAGGGCUUAGGGUUGUAAAGCUCUUUUACCCGGGAUGAUAAUGACAGUACCGGGAGAAUAAGCUCCGGCUAACUCCGU